RNAcentral lists this transfer RNA (69 nucleotides) under Ictidomys tridecemlineatus (thirteen-lined ground squirrel). RNAcentral describes it as "Spermophilus tridecemlineatus (thirteen-lined ground squirrel) tRNA". It matches the Rfam family "tRNA". From Rfam's summary of the family: Transfer RNA (tRNA) molecules are approximately 80 nucleotides in length. Their secondary structure includes four short double-helical elements and three loops (D, anti-codon, and T loops). Further hydrogen bonds mediate the characteristic L-shaped molecular structure. tRNAs have two regions of fundamental functional importance: the anti-codon, which is responsible for specific mRNA codon recognition, and the 3' end, to which the tRNAs corresponding amino acid is attached (by aminoacyl-tRNA synthetases). tRNAs cope with the degeneracy of the genetic code in two manners: having more than one tRNA (with a specific anti-codon) for a particular amino acid; and 'wobble' base-pairing, i.e. permitting non-standard base-pairing at the 3rd anti-codon position. The record is from Rfam by way of RNAcentral. Lineage: Eukaryota; Metazoa; Chordata; Mammalia; Rodentia; Sciuridae.
GGAGAUAAUACUCACUGGAGUGCUUGCCUCACAUGCAUAAGGCCCUGGGUUCAAUCCCCAGCACCUCCA